RNAcentral lists this ribosomal RNA (458 nucleotides) under Fusobacterium sp. canine oral taxon 169. Its description in RNAcentral is "bacterial SSU rRNA". It matches the Rfam family "Bacterial small subunit ribosomal RNA", at positions 9 to 480 of the family's 1533-position model. The record is from RNAcentral. Lineage: Bacteria; Fusobacteriati; Fusobacteriota; Fusobacteriia; Fusobacteriales; Fusobacteriaceae.
GAGUUUGAUUAUGGCUCAGGAUGAACGCUGACAGAAUGCUUAACACAUGCAAGUCAACUUGAACGUGGGUUUUUAACUUAGGUUUGGGUGGCGGACGGGUGAGUAACGCGUAAAGAACUUGCCUCACAGACAGGGACAACAUUUAGAAAUGAAUGCUAAUACCUAAUAUUAUGAAAAUAGGGCAUCCUAUAAUUAUGAAAGCUAAAUGCGCUGUGAGAGAGCUUUGCGUCCCAUUAGCUAGUUGGAGAGGUAACGGCUCACCAAGGCGAUGAUGGGUAGCCGGCCUGAGAGGGUGAACGGCCACAAGGGGACUGAGACACGGCCCUUACUCCUACGGGAGGCAGCAGUGGGGAAUAUUGGACAAUGGACCAAGAGUCUGAUCCAGCAAUUCUGUGCGCACGAUGAAGUUUUUCGGAAUGUAAAGUGCUUUCAGUUGGGAAGAAAAGAAUGACGUACCA